Molecule: ribosomal RNA, 497 nt
Filed under: uncultured bacterium
Lineage: Bacteria
Description: partial 16S ribosomal RNA
Rfam family: Bacterial small subunit ribosomal RNA
Source: RNAcentral
GACGAACGCUGGCGGCGUGCCUAAUACAUGCAAGUUGAGCGCUGAAGGUUGGUACUUGUACCAACUGGAUGAGCAGCGAACGGGUGAGUAACGCGUGGGGAAUCUGCCUUUGAGCGGGGGACAACAUUUGGAAACGAAUGCUAAUACCGCAUAAAAACUUUAAACACAAGUUUUAAGUUUGAAAGAUGCAAUUGCAUCACUCAAAGAUGAUCCCGCGUUGUAUUAGCUAGUUGGUGAGGUAAAGGCUCACCAAGGCGAUGAUACAUAGCCGACCUGAGAGGGUGAUCGGCCACAAUGGGACUGAGACACGGCCCAAACUCCUACGGGAGGCAGCAGUAGGGAAUCUUCGGCAAUGGACGAAAGUCUGACCGAGCAACGCCGCGUGAGGGAAGAAGGUUUUCGGAUCGUAAAACUCUGUUGGUAGAGAAGAACGUUGGCGAGAGUGGAAAGCUCAUCAAGUGACGGUAACUACCCAGAAAGGGACGGCUAACUACGUG